RNAcentral lists this transfer RNA (76 nucleotides) under Alphaproteobacteria bacterium. Its description in RNAcentral is "tRNA-Trp". It matches the Rfam family "tRNA". From Rfam's summary of the family: Transfer RNA (tRNA) molecules are approximately 80 nucleotides in length. The record is from RNAcentral. Lineage: Bacteria; Pseudomonadati; Pseudomonadota; Alphaproteobacteria.
AGGGGUGUAGCUCAGUUGGUAGAGCAGUGGUCUCCAAAACCACGUGUCGAGGGUUCGAUUCCUUUCACCCCUGCCA